CUCUUUCUCUCUUGCCUGCUGCCAUGUAAGACGUCCCAUUGCUCUUCCUUCAUCUUCCACCAUGAUUAUGAGGCGUCUCCAGCCACAUGGAACUGUGAGUCCAUUAAACCUCCUUUUUUUUAAGAAUUACCCAGUCUCGGAUAAGUCUUUAUCAGCAGCGUGAUUAAUACAGUCGAGUAAACUAUUUUUCUGUCAGAAAGCAAUUCAAAGUUAGCUGAUUGGUCUGACAAUGAGGGCUGGCUUUGCCCACCAGGUGAUACAGAUGGUGUUUUUCAUAAACUAAACUGGAUACGCUCAAUCUGCAACUAUUUAAAGCUCAGAAAAUGUGUGGGAAAGAACAUCCUUUGCAACUAUUAAGGUGAUAAGGCAAAUUUAGAUGUCAACUUAAAAACACGCAAGGAGGCACAUGAUUAUUCACAAUUAUUUUAGGGGGGUAUGUGAGAAAACUCUGGAAGACCAUUGAAUCUUCCAGUUCUCUUCAAAUUAACCAGUGUUGGGAAGUUCGUUUAACCACCUAGAGUUGCGAUCCUAGUUUUGCUCUGCAGAGGGCAGCAUUGCUAAAAUAUUAUUCGACUGUAAAGAAAGGAUUUUUUUUUUUUUUUUAACAAGCUCUUUCUAGGCUAACUUACCUCUCCUGUCUUGUGGCAUUUUUUUUUUAAUUCUUAAUUUUUAAUUUUUGUGGGCACAUAGUAGGUCUAUAUAUUUGUGGGAUACAUGAGAUAUUUGGGUACAGGCAUGCAAUGCAUAAUAAUCACAUCAUGGAAAGUAGGGUAUCCAUCCCCUCAAGCAUUUAUCCUUUGUGUUACAAACCAUCCAACUAUACUCUUUUAGUUAUUUUUAAAUGUACAAUUAAAUUAUUAUUGACUAUAGUUACCCUGUUGUGCUAUCAAAUACUAGGUCUAAGCUUCAGCAUUUAUGGCCUCGAGGAGAGAGUUGCUAUUUGACCAGAACAGAAAUACAAAAGGCCUCUGUGUCAGGCACAUUUUUCCAGGGCAGAAACAGCAUUUUUUUUUCCUUUACUAAACAAUUAUCUGUCUUUCUGGAGUCUAACACAGUGCCCAGCACCAACAAGCGAGUGCCCAAAAAGUGUAUGAUGGAUGAAAAGUAGUGCAGUCUCCAACUCCAGGGAAGCUUUGGGUUAAACAUGCAAGACAUGGCUCACCAGCAUUCCUGAAACUCUAAAACCUGCCUUGAUCAGAUUGCUGUAAGUUCAAAUAGUCCUUAGAAAGAGCAGCCACCACCUGGAAGGACUUUGGCACUGGCUGACACAAAAUGGCCUGACUCCAGCUACACCUGGUUAUGGUGCUCUUUGGUCCCCGGAAAUCUUCUGAUGCCAUUUCACCAAGAAAGUCACAUGAUUUUCUUAUAGUUGGUAAAUUCUUUCCAGGCCUUAAAUAAAUGGCCAAAAUUUUACACUUAAAGCGCAGGUUAAGUAUGGAGACAAAUUACCCAUACUUCCCGGUGAAUUCAGCUGUAACAGGAAUUGAAACUUUCUCUCAAAAAUAAGAAAGGGAAGGGAGAUCAGGUCGAAAGAAAAAGCAUGAAGUAAUGAAUUUUGACUCUGAGGCUCUCAGUUCCUCUUUUCCAACUUCGUGUCUCCUCCCUGUGGUGUUCAGCUCCUACCCCCAGCUAAGUGUCUGCACGUUAUUUCUGGCUGCAGAAAUUGUCUUCAGGCAAGUUUUAACUUGUGGGUGUUAACUGCUUCCACCAGGGCAUUUGAGUAUUUGUUUAAUUUGAACUAAAAUAAAGGGUUAUGCUUCCUGUAAAGGGAUCCCAGCAUCAGGAACAAGUGUGCCAGGCAGCGUUUUCAGAGAACAGGCUCUCUGGCUGCUGCUAAGCCUGGAGACAGGCAGGGGAGGAAUACAGUGGCUUCCCCCAGUAUCCUCCCAUGGAGCUGCAAAGGUCCCACCGCUAAUAAGAUAGGAUGGGACUGAGUCAAGGUCUGUUGAACUAGAAACCUGUGUUCUUAACCUACUGACUGCUAUUCUCACUCUCUGGACUGGCCCAGACUGGCCCCGGACAGGCUCAAUACAUGAUUGUUGAGUUAAAAACAAAAAAAAACAAAAUCUCAUUGAGAAAGAAAAGAAACUUUAUCUGAAGAAUGUGAGCCAUUUUAAAUUAUCAGGCCCAAAGAGGCAUUGAAAUGUGACAGCAAUUAUGUCUCAUUCCCUGCCUUGAGCUAAGUAAUCACCUCUUGAAGCCACUUGCUAUGUGGGCUCAAGACUGACUGACACCAAGUGGCCAUACAUUAACCUAACAAUGCCAUAUGCUAGAUACCAUAGCUCUUACCCUAUAGCUCAACAAGGUAUAGCCAAUCAUGAAUCAAUAUUACUUCUUUAAGCCAGUGAGAAUUCCUGCCAAACAACUUUGUAUCAGCCUAUUCCUUGUUCCCUUUUGCCUUUAGAAACCUGCUUGUGGUUGGGUGUCAGGGCUCAUGCCUGUAAUUCCAGUAUUUUGAGAGGCUGAGGCAAGAGGAUCACUUGAGCCCGGAAGUUCAAGACCAGCCUGGGCAAUAUAGGGAGACCUUGUCUCUAUGAAAAAUUUAAAAAUUAGCCAGGCAUGGUGGCAUGUACCUGUAAUCCCAGCUACUUGGGAGGCUGAGAUGGGAGGGUUGCUCGAGGCCAGCAGGCCAAGGCUGCAGUGAGCCAUGAUUGUGCCACUGCACUCCAGCCUGGGUGAUGGCGUGAGACCCUGUCUCAAAAAACAAACCAAAAAAAAAAAAAAAAAGACCCUGCCUGUGCAAAUACAUAAGGGAGCACUUCCCAAGACAACUUGGAAGUGUUUCCCGGGCCGCUGUCCUCACUGUGACUCAAGUUAACUCCUUAAAAUUGUAUUUUGUGCCUCAGCUUCUUCCUUUAGGUUAACUCCCAUGAAGAGCUUUGAAAGAAAUAGAAGGAUAUUACAUCCUCUUGGAUCAGUCUUGCAAAUGGAGAACCUGCUCUCUGGGAGAAAAGUCAAAUCGGUCCCACGGCUCUCUUCUCCCACUAAGAACAACUGGUUCCUUCCUUCAGAAGAAGAUGUGUUAUUCCCACCAGUAGUGGUGAGCGCCUGGAUUCCAAAAGGGUUAAGAAUUCGGAGAUGUGACCUGCCUCAUUCUGAAGAACGUGGCCCAGCAUGUGUAUGAAGCAAUUAAUUGCUCCACAAACCCUGAAAAUUUGAUCACUGGCCAGAGUAACGCUGAGGAGCCAUCCUGUCUUCUGCUUGAGUGUCUUCACUCUGGGGAUUCUGGCAGGCUGGUUUCCUGGCCAGAUGCUUCUCAUCCACACCUGUGGACCUCAGGAAACCAAAGGUGACCUCUGUUGGCAUGGCCUUGACUUCCUUUCCACCAAUGCCCAUGAGAUGUGGAAAUUGAGCGAACAUCCACACCAGAACCAUACACUCAAACAAGCAGGUUGGGGCAGGGAAACUCCAUCACAUCAUGGUGAGGCAGAGAUGCUGCAGCCACCCAGAUCAUUGUGUAGUAGAGGUGGCACCAUUUUACUAUGUGUCCUCCCUGCACUCAGUGAAGUCUGUGAAGGGAGGGGUCAGUGCAGCAAGGAGCUCGCUCUGCCCCAGAGGAGAGAGUGGAAUGUUCGAGGACACAUGAAAGCAGUUACUCUGCCUACCUUUUAAAACUCUUUCCUCCUGGGGAACUGGUUUAUUCUGUACUCCUAAACAGACUAUAUCCAUGUAUUCACUCCUUCUAUAAAUAUUUGAGAAAAACCUACUAUAUGCCAAGCACUUUUCUAGGCAAAGGAAAUGCAAUAGCCCUUUCUUCCCAUAGCUUCCAGCCUGGUGGGGAAUAAAGGAAUUAAAUAAGCAAUUACAA
This 3808-nucleotide long non-coding RNA is filed under the name Homo sapiens (human). RNAcentral's name for it is "HSALNT0373309". Lineage: Eukaryota; Metazoa; Chordata; Mammalia; Primates; Hominidae. The record is from RNAcentral.